RNAcentral lists this long non-coding RNA (4072 nucleotides) under Homo sapiens (human). RNAcentral's name for it is "non-protein coding lnc-OR13J1-2:1". Lineage: Eukaryota; Metazoa; Chordata; Mammalia; Primates; Hominidae. The record is from RNAcentral.
UGAAAUCCCAUCUCUACAAGAAAAGGAUUUUUUAAUUAGCUAGGCACGGUGGCAUGCACCUAUAGUCCCAGCCACUCAGGAGGCGGAGGUGGGAGGAUUGACUGAGCCCUGGAAUUUGAGGCUGCAGUGACCUAUGAUCACACCCUGGCACUUCUUUGGCCCUUGGGGGAGCUACUUGAACUUUUAAUGAUGCUGGAGUAAGAACUCCUCCUGCAGACUCCUGGGGCCCUGGGAGCCCGGCUGCCUUCCCUAGGGAAGUUAAGGAGGGAAGUCUGUUGUGAGGAGGAGGAGGAGGAAGGCAAACAGGGGAUUUUCGUCCUCAGAACUUCUCCAGGAAGACUCCCACCCCACACCAGCCGCUGGCGGCGGGGCAGGACCUUACAACUAUGAACUUGAAGAACUUCAGUCAGCUCAAACGGCCCCUUGGAAUCACCCAGACUCAGCCUUCACUGACAGAUGGAGAAACUGAAGCCAGAGAAGGGAAACACUUGCCUAAGUUCUCCCAGCCUCGUGCGCUAAUCUAUACAGCAGGUACUCAACAGAGCACCAUCCCUGCAGUGAGGGAGCCGUCCAGAGUGACAGCCUGAGAUCAAAAAAAAAAGAAGUGACAGAGACCUUCUUGGAGGCUUGACUGUAUACUGUACAUGAGGGUUUGCAAGACUGAUAACUUUAAGGACACUGUGGCUGUGUUUCCGGAUCCCCCGCUUCAGAAAAGCUUGUCAUUGUAUUUCUUCCUCAGGGUUGGGACUUCCUAGCCAAGGAAUGGGAGUUCUAGACCACACAGCUGAUGGGUAAGCUUUUUGAAACUCAUAUUAUUUAGCUUCGUGCCCAUACUUUCCAGGGUACACAGACUCAUGCACAUGCUUGUAAAUCAACAUUGCUCUGUGGGAAAACUUAUACACCAAUAACUGUGUGUGCACACGCUCAUGCAAAUAUGCACAGGUGAAUACAAGUUCCAGACAACUCACAAAUAUGUGCUUGUAGUAGCUGCAGGUGGUUCUUGGAAGUCCAGCCAUAGCAACCACAUUGUUUUCACUAAUUGGUGGCACCACCUAGUGGUGACACUGUAAAUAAAUCAGUUUUGUAUUCUGACCUGUCAAAAGUUACAGUAUCUGAUGGUUGUUUACAGAUCAUAAUUUGGACCCGUGCAUUUAAAUCCUCCCUAUUCCAAAUUCCUAUUGAAACAGACAAAGAGAUAAAAAUCCUAUUCCACUCUAGAAAUCAGUAAAAAAAAUCACAUUACUGGCCCAUAAACUUCAAGGAAUUUCAACAAGAUACAGUGCAAAUAGAACCAGGCUGAUGAGUAUAUUGACUAAAGAAGGACAUUCCUGGGAAAUAAUGGAGGAUACGCCCCAGGAGAGUCUCCCUAAAGCCCCGUAAUAGACAGCCAGGACUAGGAAAAAGGCUGAGAUGGGGAUAAGCGGGAAAAAAACUGAGCAACCUUGGGAAUUGCGAGUGCCUGCUCGCAGAGAAGGUGGCCAAGGCUCAGCUCCUCUUUUGGUUUGCACAGAAAAGCAAGGACAUUGGCCAGCAGGUUUCUAACCCAGGUGCUCAUGCCAGUUAGAGAAGGGGGGACAUUCUUCCAGCCGACCUUGAACUGCCUCAACAAACAGUGAGAAGAAGUUGCGCAGCAGAACAGCAAACUUCUCUCCUCUUCUCAGAAGCUCUUCCUGCCCUAAUCAUGGUCGAUUGGAUCUCCCAAUCUAGAAAACUAAACUAUAAAUAUUCCAUGUUUCUUCUUUUCCCAUUGCCUGGAACCAACACGUUUGAAAAUGAUCUACAUAUCUUUUAGAAUACCCAUUUCAAAUCUCAAUUCCAAACAAAUGUAGAUCUAGGUCCCUCCAUAAAGUGAGCAAAUAUAUGAUAAUUUCUAGACAUACGAAAAAAGAUGUAAGUUAUUAUAUCUUUAUCAUUAGGGUUACUAGAAUCUAAGAAACAAAAACAGUAAAAUUCUGUAAUUUAUACUGUAAAUAGAAUUCCAAAAGUCAACCCAUAUAUGAAUAUGGAAAAUAUGCAAAAACAGGAAAUUUAUUUUCCAAUUAAAAACCAAAUCUGGAAAGAUUGCUUUGAGAACUUUCCCUAUAACUCAGAAAUAAAUAAAUAAAUAAAGAGGCUAAAAGAGAGAGAAAGAAAAGAAAGAUCCAGAAAUCAAAUAUACCUAUAUAAUAGGCAUUCCAGAAAUAGAGAAUAGAGCCCGUGGAGAAACAAUCAUUAAAGAAAUAUAAAGAAAAUUUCCUGACUUGAAGAAUUAACUCUUUAGAUCAAAAAGUGACUUAGUACUCAGCAAACUAUCUAUCUAUCUGUCUAUCUAUCUAUCUAUCCAUCUAUCUAUUUAGAGACGGGGUCUCAUUCUGUCAACCAGGCUACAGUGCAGUGGCACAAUCACAGUUGGCUCACUGCAGCCUCGACCUCCUGAGCUCAAGUGAUCCUCCAACCUCAGCCUCUCAAGUAGCUGAGACUACAGGCGGAUCCCAUCAUGCCGGCUAAUUUUUUAAAAAUUUUUUGUGGAGACAGGGUUUUGCCAUGUUGUCCAGGCUGGUCUUGAACUCCUGGGUUCAAGCAAUCCUCCCAACUUGGCCUCCAAAGUGCUGUGAUUAUAGGCGUGAGCCACCACGCCCCGCUAAAGAAACUAUUUAAAGAGGCCAGAUCAUCUAGUUAUAUCCAGGUGAAAUUUUAACUUUAAAACAAUAAAGAGAAACCAAAUGGUACAACCAUCAUGGAAAACACUUUGAAUUUUCAUAUAAAACUAAACACACUCUACCAGCUGUUUACUGAUUCCGACUGUUUACCAGCAAUCACACUCCUUGGAAUUUACCCAAAUUAGCUGAAAACUUGUGUUCACACAAAAAUCUGCAUGCUUAUAGCAUGUUUAUAGCAACUUUAUUCAUAAUUGACAAAACUUGGAAGCAACUGAAAUGCCCUUCAGCAGGUGAAUGGAUAAAUAAACUGUGGUACACCAGACAAUGGAACAUCAUUUAGCACUAAAAAGAAAUGAACUCUCAAGCCAUGAAAGAACAUGGAGGAAACUUAAAUGCAUAUUGCUAAGUGAAAGAAGCCAAUCUGAAAAGGCUACAUAUGUGUGAUUCCGACUAUUUAACAUUCUGGAAAAGGCAAAACUAUGGAGAUAGUAGAAAGAUCAGUGGUUGCCAGGGGCUGGAAGGAGGCAGGAGGUAGAGCACAGGGAAUUUUUUAGGGCAGUGAAACUAUUCUAUAAAACACUAUGAUGGUGGAUACGUGUUAUUUCAAAAUUUGUCAAAAUCCAUAGAAUGUACAACACCAAGAGUGAACCCUAACGUGAACGAUGGCCCUUGGGUGAUGAUGUGUCAACAUAGAGUAGAUUACAACAAAUGUACCUCUGUGUUGUGGAACGCUGAUAAUAGCGAAGGGGGGAUUCAUAUGGGAAAUCUCUGUAGCCUCCACUCAAAUUUCCUGUGAACCUAAAACUGCUCUAAAAAAUAAAGUCUACUUUUUUAAAAAACAAAAGGGGUAAAUAAAAUAAUCCUACAAACCACAACAGGAGCUGUUUGAACUGUUUCAAAAAAUAAAGAGACCUUUUUUUAUUUUUUAAAUUCAUAUAACUUACUUUAUAAAACUAGCAUAACCCUGAUACCAAACCUAACAAUCAUAGCACAAAAACACUACAAAUCUCAGAAUUCUUUUUUUUUUUUUUUUGAGAUGGAGUCUCGCUGUGUCGCCCAGGUUGGAGUGCAGUGACGCAAUCUCGGCUCACUGCAACCUCCACCUCCCGGGUUCAAGCGAUUCUCCUGCCUCAGCAUCCUGAGUAGCUGGGACUACAGGCGUGUGCCACCACACCUGGCUAACUUUUUGUAUUUUUAGUAGAGACGGGGUUUCACUGUGUUAGCCAAGACGGUCUCGAUCUCUUGACCUCGUGAUCCGCCUGCCUUGGCCUCCCAAAGUGCUGGGAUUACAGGCGUGAGCCACCGCGCCCGUCCCAAAUAUCAGAAUUCUAACAAAUUAAUAUUAUAUCCCAGAACAUUGGGAGACGAAUACUCCAUAAAAUAAAUUUAUUCUAGGAAUGUGAGGGUGGUUUCAUGUUUUAAAAAUAUGUUGU